Molecule: RNA transcript, 3023 nt
Organism: Oncorhynchus keta (chum salmon)
Lineage: Eukaryota; Metazoa; Chordata; Actinopteri; Salmoniformes; Salmonidae
Gene name: ras-related protein Rab-34-like
Exons: 8
Source: RefSeq, a predicted model, not a curated record
CAGGAAAUAAAUAACAAAACAUUCUGUAUUUUGCCAGAUGUGGAGUUAAAACCCUGCCUAAUUGUAAUUUUCCAUUGGCUACUACUGGUAAGACACACGACACCAUGUAUCCAUGAGACAGGAAGUGUCGAUGAGCAAAGAAAUAGAAAAAGUGGCAAGGCAACAUGGGCCUGUAGUAAAUAUCAAAGGACAGAAAACCCAGCGUUCUAUCACCGGAAUAUGACGCCAAUGACUAUAAUGUUGCAUUGUAGCCUACAAGAUUUGGUAGAAUGAACCAUGUUGCAGCAAAUGAGAAAUUAAAUGUGUGUUUGGACUACGUUGAGUCCAAUGAUAUCUGCCGCCAGGGGGAGUCGACUCGCAAAGACUUUAUUUCCCAAAUUCCAAUGAGAACCUGGAGCUGAGUCAGAGGUCCGCCUAAACACCUAAAUAAUUUGCAGACUACGUUAUUUCCCACUCACUUCCGAAGGUCUGGUUUAUUUGGUGUGAACGAAUACGAUGAGCUUUUUGGAAAGAUUCGGAUUCAUUUAUGUAAAACCUCAAAUCUUGAAACCAAACUAAAAGUCUAAGUUUUUCUUUAUUGACUGAAGGUUUAACGUUACGCGUGACGAAAAAACGCCACCCUGUCCCGUUCCAAGGUAUGUAGCUCCGGUGACAUCCCAGCAUGGACUCCGUUCGUUAGUAGCUUUUAUUUUUCCUUUGUAGACAACUUCGGCUUUUAUUAAACCAUUUUGGGAGAUCAUGUUUCAGUGUGUCCACAUGUUUUGGUUCUUGAAGAGACUAGAGUUGAUUCUUAUCAUGUGAAAUAUGAUUAAGCAUGAUUACAAUUAUAAAGAGCAACAAUACUUUUUUACGAUCUAUUGUCGGUUCAGUAUGAAUUAGCUAUAUUAUUGUAAACAGUUUACAGUAAUUCAUUUUCUUUGUGCACAGAACAAUAGGAUUAAAAUAGAGAUUAGUGGAUAAUCUCCAGAACAGACGAGUUACUGGUUACUGACUCAUAGGCUAAUCAAAUAAAAAAAAUCAAAGUUUAUUUGUCACGUGCGCCGAAUACAACAGGUGUAGGUAGACUUUACAGUGAAAUGCUUACUUACAGGCUCUAACCCAUAAUGCAAAAAAAGGUAUUAGGUGAACAAUAGGUAAGUAAAAUAAUAAUAAUAACAGUAGGGAGGCUAUAAAAGUAGAGGCUACAUACAGACAUUAGUCAGGCUGAUUGAGGUAGUAUGUACAUAUAGAUAUGGUUAAAGUGACUGCAUAUAUAAUGAACAGAGAGUAGCAGUAGCGUAAAAUUAUAAUCAGUCUAUUGUAAUUGUGUAGUGGUGCGUCAUCCCACGUUGCAUAGGCUACUCUUGCUCAUAAUUGUCAUGUUAACCAAACCCAAUGCUUAAUUUGACUCUACAGUGGAAAGUCUGCAUAUUGUAGUUAUCGGAUUCACAUGGAAUUGUUGUUCAAUUUAAAUGUUUGAAUGUAAAAUUAUUGGUGAAAAGAUUAAAUGUAAUUUUAGCUUCCAAAUGAGAGAUUUGGGUUUUCAUAAGGUUAGGGCUCUGCUCAAUCAGUGGCCCGCCCCUGUGAAGAGACAUGGGUUAUAAAACUUUUCAAACACACCCUUCUCCCUCCACUAUAUAAAGCCUUGACGAAAAUGUAACCUCCUGUUCCGAGAAUGUGAGGACGAUGUCAGAAUGGUUCAGAACGAACCCAACCUCCAGCGUGAGCUUUUGUUUGCAAAUGGUAUGAACUUUGAACUCUUAUUCACUACAGAAGUGAUACCUCCUAGCCGUUGAGUUAGCAACAGCAGCUGCAAACGUGGGCUAGGAAAUAACAGAUAGAGUAUCCCAUCUACCACACAACGACAUUACUACAACAUAUCCAAUUUACCAGCAGACACAUUCUUCAAAGGAUUCUGUUGGGCAACACGGCCUUCCAUCUACCACCAACCUACCGAAGCGUAGCUCAGAGUCCCUCUGAUGAUUGUUAUCUUGGCCUAAUGUCUGUCCGAGUGCCAUCAAUGAGUGUGCUGCCUCCUGUUCGAAGGGGCCGCGUCAUUGCCCAGCUUCCUCAGUGUUACAGUAAGAAGGCUGCUGUGCAAACUAAAGAUGAGUUCAACUUCAAAGUGAAGACUGCCUGCCAGGAGCAACGCACUGGCACAGUAGGGUUUAAAAUAGCUAAGGUCAUAGUGGUUGGUGACCUGGCCGUGGGAAAAACCUGUCUGAUUAAUAGGAUGCAUUUGACAAGAACUACAAGGCGACCAUUGGUGUUGACUUUGAGAUGGAGCGGUUUGAAGUGUUGGGGGUGCCUUUCAGUUUACAGUUAUGGGACACUGCGGGGCAGGAGAGGUUCAAGUGUAUUGCCUCCACAUACUACAGGGGAGCUCAGAGCAGUGGCUUGAAGAUGCCUUGAAGGAGAAUGAUCCUACCAAUGUUCAGCUUUUCCUGGUGGGCACAAAGAAAGACCUGAGUAAAUUAACAGUAAUUCAAACAGCCUGUAUGCAACAUCAAAGAAGAAACAGUCAAACUGUUGUCAAUGAAGACAAACACAUGACUACAACAGUAAAAAGUUAACAAAGCAAAAAGCAUAAUUUCCUCAGAAGAGAAACUGAGAACCCAUUAACACUCCCAGAGACAUGGAAUUUGCAGUGAGGCAGGACAGAGACUUUUGCCUUCAGACAUUUGAUUUUAAUUUCUCCUGGCCCGGAAAGAACAGCUUCUUGGUUGGAUGUGGAUUCCUGUGGUGCUUGGCUCAUUUUUGCCCAUCCAGAGUUUCGGAUAGAAAUUCCUCUGGUUCAUUGUACUCCAUACUGUACAGUUCCAGUUCUUGAGUCCUGACAGAAAUUGUGAUCGAGGUACUGCUUUAAUAGCUAUGGAGUAUGGACAAUCAUGGAUGUCUUCAAAUACCCAAUAUGGAUAUUUUUAUGACACUCCGCCAUUAGGCCUGUUAGAUUUCUUUACAGCGUUGUUUUGUUUAGUGUUUCCAUCCAACAUGUUUUUUGCACAAUUUGUAACCAUUGCAUAGAUUAAAACUCAUGACUCCUU